Small nucleolar RNA from Ostrinia nubilalis (European corn borer), 203 nucleotides. RefSeq annotates it as small nucleolar RNA U3. The transcript has a single exon. Lineage: Eukaryota; Metazoa; Arthropoda; Insecta; Lepidoptera; Crambidae. The record is from RefSeq and is a predicted model, not a curated record.
AAGACCUUACUUCAUAGGAUCAUUUCUAUAGUAAGCUCUUCGCUAGACCUUCACACUAUGUGAAACCACCCUUAACCACGUUGAUGAGACGUGGCGCGGCGCCCUGAGCGUGAGGCGGGCGGCAGUGUCCACUGCCAGCCCUCGAUGAUCGUUCGCCCUCCGCUUCGGCGGAGGGGGUGGGGCGUUGUCGCUGUCUGAGUGGU